RNAcentral lists this long non-coding RNA (897 nucleotides) under Mus musculus (house mouse). Its description in RNAcentral is "predicted gene 14461". The record is from RNAcentral. Lineage: Eukaryota; Metazoa; Chordata; Mammalia; Rodentia; Muridae.
AGAUUCCAGAGGCUUCUUUUCUGUGGGCGUGGCCAAGGCAGCGGGGGUUUAUGACAAAGUUGAGCGACCUCAUGUCACUCAAACCAGCUGUAUUAAGGAAGGUGCAAGCUUUUGGGAUUUCUGUUUGGAUUUAGUUUAGGUUCAAAAGAGCACGCACAGAUCCUGAGUGUUGUCAAGCACCCGUGACUGGGAAACGGAGGCGUCCGAUCCGUAUUGGAGUCAAUUCGCCACUUAAUUGAGCACAGCACGAAACCCUGAAGAUAAAGGAUGAUGUUGGUAAAUAUUUUCAUCAGACUUUGUGAGAAUUCAGAUUUCUAAUAAAAUUAAUUUGAGAAAAAUCAAUGACCCUAUGAGUUUAAGAGGACUUUCAUUAUUCCAAGAACACAGCCUCGAAGGGAAGGGCCAUAUUUGUGGGCCUGUCUAACAAUUAAGAGUGACCACAUGGAAUGGGGGAUGAAAGGGUUAAAGAAGAACAAAUAUUGAACACAGCUUUUCUAUGAACAAACUGCAGGCAGCUGCUGCUUUGCAAGGGGAACUUCUUGGCUGCCAUUUCUGGAUGUCAAGGCUGCAGAUACACUGGUCAGGACCCUGGGUAGAGAGAGAUGCGUCAGAAUGCGGCUCCUUUCAGAAAGGCUUCUCCGGAGGUCAGCACUCGGGCAAAAGGCUGUGUGUGAUGUGUUUGGGAACACAAAGGUUGGUGAGGUCAGCUGACUACUAGAAGACAGAUCUAUUUGAAGAUUUUUGUGGUGGUCUUUACUACUCCAGAGAUUUACAGCUGAUGAAAAAUGGAGAAGUACAUGACCCUACCCUGCUGUUGGACAUGCUACCCAAGGAUCAUGACUGACAACUUGUCAACAUCACUAUUGCUUAUUUAAUAAAUGUGCAGUACUACUUCAA